UUCUCUGUAAAACUAUAUCUUUUAUUGAGCUCGUGUCCACACACACACACACCACACACACACACACGCACACAGGAAGAAAAUGGUGGCUGCAUUCCAAAGAGUUCCAGGCUCCUCUCCUGAGAGUUAACUGGAUACAGUGUAUUGUCAGAAAGCCCUUGGGGCUGCUUGUUCAAGAAGUUUUGCUGCCACACCAAUUAGAAGCCGUUUACAGAAUUUUAAGAAGCUCUCCCUUGAAAGGCCGACUUCCCCAAGCUUCUACAGGACAAGAUUCUCUCGGGGCUAAGGUCAUCCUGUCCCACCACAUGCCUAAAGCUGUUGGAGCCGAAUGUUUCCAAAGACAGACGAUCUUGUCAUCUUUGGCUAUUUAUGUCUAGUCAUGUGGUGACAUGUGGAAUCCUAGUUCCCUCGCCCUUCUCCCCUGGCACUGAGUGAUCAUCGUAGAUAGUGAGUUUAACCUGUCCUGUUACGGGGAUGCCUAUUCGGUCCACGGAAAGGUGCCGGCCAUGCCUAUUUAACUCAGCCACCCUCAUCCGUAGAAACACAGUCAGGUGGAGAAUGACGUCGGCCAAACAGGUGGGUGACGUCGCCUUCUGUGUCCUUGACUGGGGCCACGAAAAAUGCUUGGGUUUGCAGAAUAAUGGACAUAGCUAUUCUUUUCCCAGGGAUGUGGGCGGAGCAGAGCUCUUACUAAUUAUUGACAGAGAAGUCCCUGGGCCUCAGGGCCAUCCUGAAUGCUUCAGUCUGGGAAGAGAAUCCCAUGCGAUUCUGUGGGAGAGAGCAGCUGUGAGAAUGUAGAACCCAGACAGACUGCCGAUGUCCUAACAUCUUUGCGAUAGAGAGAGAUUGCGUCCAUGCGGAGGGCGAGUGGGGGAAAUGACGGAUUGAAAGACGGGUUCUGGCCUUAUGGACACAUCGCAUUUCUGAUUCACUAAGGCCCGAAAUGGCCCUCAAUCUUUAAUAACUCCUUUCAUGACAAAUAUCUCCAGCUACCUUUCAAAACUGUAAGAUCUCAAGGGGGGAUACGGAAAUGGGCUAAACUGGUUUGUUUUGUUUUGAUUUGGUUUGGUUUUUUGCAAGUUGGAAUCUAAACGAUGAAAAUUGGCAUUUCAUCUUUGCUAAAGUAAAUGAAGUGCGGAUCUCCCAAAUAAAUACUUACAAACAAAAUGCA
RNAcentral lists this long non-coding RNA (1171 nucleotides) under Felis catus (domestic cat). RNAcentral's name for it is "lncRNA (ENSFCAG00000050287.1)". The record is from RNAcentral. Lineage: Eukaryota; Metazoa; Chordata; Mammalia; Carnivora; Felidae.